GGAAUAUUGGGCAAUGGGCGCAAGCCUGACCCAGCGACGCCGCGUGAGGGAUGAAGGCCUUCGGGUUGUAAACCUCUUUCAGUAGGGAAGAAGCGAAAGUGACGGUACCUAAAGAAGAAGCACCGGCUAACUAUGUGCCAGCAGCCGCGGUAAUACAUAGGGUGCAAGCGUUGUCCGGAAUUAUUGGGCGUAAAGAGCUCGUAGGUCGUUUGCCGCGUCGAUUGUGAAAAUCUGAGGCUCAACCUCAGACCUGCAGUCGAUACGGGCAAACUAGAGUGUGGUAGGGGAGACUGGAAUUCCUGGUGUAGCGGUGGAAUGCGCAGAUAUCAGGAGGAACACCAAUGGCGAAGGCAGGUCUCUGGGCCAUAACUGACACUGAGGAGCGAAAGCGCGGGGAGCGAACAGGAUUAGAUACCCUGGUAGUCCGCGCCGUAAACGAUGGGCACUAGCUGUGAGAGCCUUCCACGGUUCUCGCGACGCAGCAAACGCAUUAAGUGCCCCGCCUGGGGAGUACGAUCGCAAGAUUAAAACUCAAAUGAAUUGACGGA
Molecule: ribosomal RNA, 548 nt
Filed under: uncultured bacterium
Lineage: Bacteria
Description: bacterial SSU rRNA
Rfam family: Bacterial small subunit ribosomal RNA
Source: RNAcentral